RNAcentral lists this ribosomal RNA (120 nucleotides) under Pseudogymnoascus sp. VKM F-4518 (FW-2643). Lineage: Eukaryota; Fungi; Ascomycota; Leotiomycetes; Thelebolales; Thelebolaceae. The record is from RNAcentral.
ACAUACGACCAUAGACUCAAGAGAAUUGGGCAUUCCGUCCGCUCUGCCAUACACAAGCUUGAGAUCGGUGGAUUAGUAGUUGGGUGGGUGACCACCAGCGAAUACCCACUGUUGUAUGUU